RNAcentral lists this ribosomal RNA (260 nucleotides) under Clostridioides difficile. Its description in RNAcentral is "partial 23S ribosomal RNA". It matches the Rfam family "Bacterial large subunit ribosomal RNA", at positions 2465 to 2724 of the family's 2925-position model. Lineage: Bacteria; Bacillati; Bacillota; Clostridia; Peptostreptococcales; Peptostreptococcaceae. The record is from RNAcentral.
ACCCUGGGGAUAACAGGCUUAUCUCCCCCAAGAGUCCACAUCGACGGGGAGGUUUGGCACCUCGAUGUCGGCUCAUCACAUCCUGGGGCUGUAGUAGGUCCCAAGGGUUGGGCUGUUCGCCCAUUAACGUGGUACGCGAGCUGGGUUCAGAACGUCGUGAGACAGUUCGGUCCCUAUCCGUCGCAGGCGUAGGAAAUUUGAGAAGACCUGUCCUUAGUACGAGAGGACCGGGAUGGACGUACCUCUGGUGUACCAGUUGU